Molecule: ribosomal RNA, 333 nt
Filed under: Triticum aestivum (bread wheat)
Lineage: Eukaryota; Viridiplantae; Streptophyta; Magnoliopsida; Poales; Poaceae
Description: partial small subunit ribosomal RNA
Source: RNAcentral
AUGUCUCAGUUGGUAGGUCGCGUUCCGGGUUUUAUUUUCGUCCCACCAUUUUCGUCCCACCAUUUUCGUCUGAUUUUUUUUCGUUGGUUUUUUUUCGCCGGUUUUUUCGUCCNNNNNNNNNNCCUCUCCAUCCUCCUCCUCAAGACGUCACCAUCGCCUCCGUUCGCCUUCUCCCGCGCCGGCGCCGUCGAGGCCGAGUCGUUCCACUUCCCGCUCUGGCAGGUCUGCGCGGCCGCGUGCGGGGCGUUCGUCUUCUCCCGCGCCGAUGUCGUCGAGGCCGAGGCGUUCGACUUCCCGGCCUGCUAUGGCUGGGUAAUUCUUGUCUUGCUAUAA